RNAcentral lists this small RNA (79 nucleotides) under Flavobacterium sp. 81. RNAcentral describes it as "Flavo-1 RNA". It matches the Rfam family "Flavo-1 RNA". Lineage: Bacteria; Pseudomonadati; Bacteroidota; Flavobacteriia; Flavobacteriales; Flavobacteriaceae. The record is from RNAcentral. RNAcentral also lists the same sequence under 1 other name.
UCAUAGCCCUGAUAGAAGCGGUAUCCUUUUUCUUGAUUCUUUAUCAAGGAAAAGAUACAAGUGGAUAGCAGGAAUAGCU